Molecule: ribosomal RNA, 573 nt
Filed under: Odorrana lipuensis
Lineage: Eukaryota; Metazoa; Chordata; Amphibia; Anura; Ranidae
Description: partial 16S ribosomal RNA
Rfam family: Bacterial large subunit ribosomal RNA
Source: RNAcentral
CAAAAACAUCGCCUCUUGACCAAACAUAAGAGGUCCAGCCUGCCCAGUGACGAAGUUCAACGGCCGCGGUACACUAACCGUGCGAAGGUAGCAUAAUCACUUGUUCUUUAAAUAAGGACUCGUAUCAACGGCAUCACGAGAGCUAUACUGUCUCCUCUCUCCAAUCAGUGAAACUGAUCUCCCCGUGAAGAAGCGGGGAUUCAAUUAUAAGACGAGAAGACCCCAUGGAGCUUUAAACCCAACUUACACCCCCUCACCUACACAUCACAUUAACCUAGGAACCUGUAUGUUGGCUUUAGGCUGGGGGGGCCACGGAGCUAAAUUAAACCUCCAUGACAAACGGACUAACACCCUUAUCCAUGAACUACAAUUCUAAGAAUUACCAAACUAAUGUUUAAUGACCCGAUAAUUCGAUCAACGAACCAAGUUACCCUGGGGAUAACAGCGCAAUCUACUUCAAGAGCCCUUAUCGACAAGUAGGUUUACGACCUCGAUGUUGGAUCAGGGAAUCCCAGUGGUGCAACCGCUACUAAUGGCUCGUUUGUUCAACGAUUAAAACCCUACGUGAUCUGA